AGUUUGAUCAUGGCUCAGAUUGAACGCUGGCGGCAUGCCUUACACAUGCAAGUCGAACGGUAACAGGUCUUCGGAUGCUGACGAGUGGCGAACGGGUGAGUAAUACAUCGGAACGUGCCCGAUCGUGGGGGAUAACGAGGCGAAAGCUUUGCUAAUACCGUAUACGAUCUACGGAUGAAAGCGGGGGAUCUUCGGACCUCGCGCGGACGGAGCGGCCGAUGGCAGAUUAGGUAGUUGGUGGGAUAAAAGCUUACCAAGCCGACGAUCUGUAGCUGGUCUGAGAGGAUGAUCAGCCACACUGGGACUGAGACACGGCCCAGACUCCUACGGGAGGCAGCAGUGGGGAAUUUUGGACAAUGGGCGAAAGCCUGAUCCAGCCAUGCCGCGUGCAGGAUGAAGGCCUUCGGGUUGUAAACUGCUUUUGUACGGAACGAAAAGCCUCUUUCUAAUAAAGAGGGGUCAUGACGGUACCGUAAGAAUAAGCACCGGCUAACUACGUGCCAGCAGCCGCGGUAAUACGUAGGGUGCAAGCGUUAAUCGGAAUUACUGGGCGUAAAGCGUGCGCAGGCGGUUUUGUAAGACAGAGGUGAAAUCCCCGGGCUCAACCUGGGAACUGCCUUUGUGACUGCAAGGCUGGAGUGCGGCAGAGGGGGAUGGAAUUCCGCGUGUAGCAGUGAAAUGCGUAGAUAUGCGGAGGAACACCGAUGGCGAAGGCAAUCCCCUGGGCCUGCACUGACGCUCAUGCACGAAAGCGUGGGGAGCAAACAGGAUUAGAUACCCCGGUAGU
Molecule: ribosomal RNA, 787 nt
Filed under: uncultured bacterium
Lineage: Bacteria
Description: bacterial SSU rRNA
Rfam family: Bacterial small subunit ribosomal RNA
Source: RNAcentral